GAAGUAGGCCAUAGAGUGAAGGGUAAUUCCAUAUUCAGGAGCCGACUCUUUCAGACAUAAAUUUGACUUUUUGGAUAAGGAUAAGUAUCUCAUGAAGGAAUUAUUAAUAAUUUUAAAUUUUUCUGUAUUUGGCAAAACAAAAAAAAUAUCACCUACAAAUAUGUGUGCAUAAGACAGUACUUUUAAGAUUCAAGAGUAACAAAACAACAAGCAUCAAGGAACUCAUCGUUUUAGUGGCUCAGUAAAACAAAGCUGAUGACAAUGGCUGAUGAAACUACUGAAACCAGCGCGAGCUGAAGAACUUACAUAUCUAUGUACAUGUAUGUUUCUGCAUUACGAAUAUAUUCAACUCCUUUUCCUGCAUAUAGCAGUUGCUGAAGUUGAACUCACGCAGUUAGAAGUACAUAGUAACGAAUGAGAGCGUGCAUACAUGCACUAUUCCAUAGUUUAUCGAUUGUGUGUCGCUCAUUGCCGAUUGCCAUUUCACUGUGAAUGAUGAGUGAGUUUAAGCAGGAAGGCAGAGGUCCAAACCCUCUUUGAUGAACUGCUUCAAGGAAAAAAACUUUUGAAUUAUGCCUGUAUCUGGCGUAUACAAAGAUAAUUUUCUGAACCUCUCGGUUUUUUGAUUGAUAUCCAAACGCGGACCAGUGGACUCCAUUUCCGGUGAAUACGAAAACAAUAACAAAUCAAAAUGAGGACAGCCAGUCGGGGAAAUGCGAAAAUGAGGAAAUCGGAAUAGGGACGGAGAAUUUCUUAAAAAUAAAUAAGUAUGAAAUCGGAAUUAUAUCAAGACGAAACACAGCGCAGAUGGGAUGGAUGUGGGUUUGAUAUCAAGUGAUUAAGCUAGCUCUGAGGUAGAAGUACAGUGCGUUUUAAAGCAAAUCAAAUCGAGAAGGCAAAGCAAACUUUUCUUAAAUAUGACGCAAAAGCGAGGAGAGCUUGCAAUUAAGGUAUAUACAUAAAUAUAAUGGAAAAAGCGAGCACAUAUCUUUUCCCGAUUACUUAUCGGUAAAAAACACUCUGUAUGAACUAAUCAAAGC
Molecule: small RNA, 1040 nt
Filed under: Drosophila pseudoobscura pseudoobscura
Lineage: Eukaryota; Metazoa; Arthropoda; Insecta; Diptera; Drosophilidae
Description: GA31818
Source: RNAcentral